CUUCAUGUAAAUAAACAUAUACAGCAAAACUUUCUCAUCACUUAACACGGAUUUGUUCUUCAAAUUCAUUUUUAAUACAUCCACCUAAAUCUUCUUUAUUCUCUUUCUUUUAAAGCACCUUAAGCAGUAUCGAAGAUCCCCUCCUUGCCAAAAUAUUGUAGCUUUUCAUAGAUACUCUGCAAGACUGCAACUGUUAUGUCUUCAUCUACAUCACCAUAUAUAAGCAUCUUUCACUAAUCUUAUGCUAAAGGAGCCUUAUAGGUAUCAGCACAUUUUGAAACCCAAUCUCCAGCAGAGUUUGAGAUUCCUGAUGCCAGAGUGUUUUUCUUCUAAGUAGUAAAAGGGAAGAGAACCUCAGUUAAAAAAAAAAACAAAAACAAAAACAAAAAACAAGUACAUCUAAAUAUUUCCAUCAGUGCAACAAAACAUGAAGUUACCAAAACAGAAGCAGAAGAACAACAAAUCUAAAGCAGAAAUAUGACUGCACUAUAUGAAAAUGUCAUGUACUAGUCCAUGGUUGACUGGCAUCCAAAUCAAGCUCCCAAAUGACAUUUUAUUGGAUGUUCACAUCUAAUUUAACAAGCAGUGGAGCUUAUUUAUAAACUUUUACAAAUCUCAUGUCAAGAUAUAUAUAUAGAUUGGUAAUAAUGAGCUUAUAGAUUGGCUUGCUCUUGUUGUUUACUUUCUAAUCGCAUCAUCAAGCAAUUAGUCAUUGCAUAUUCAAAGAGUGAAUUGGUUUUUAAUCACUUUUUUUUUUUUUUUGAGAGACAGAGAGAGAGUAUAAUGAAGUAUACCACCAUCAAGCCAUGAUACAGAUUAUAUCACCCAAUGGAAAUACUUACCUCGGAUGCUGCUGACAGCUUACAAUUAGCUACAAACCUAGAAGGAAAUUGACAAAGGUGCCACACAAUAAAGCUGUCACUGUAAGGAACGGAUCUGGUGGGAAAUUUAUACCUAGCCUAUUAACUUUGCAAAGUGGCGUUAACAUCAAGGAACAGAGGUACGGUAAUUUUAUGGAGAUGAUCUGGGGACGUUAUACCUUGGAAGUUCUUAACCUAGGCUACAAAAUUAAAGGAGAUUCUGGAUGAAGUUUUACAUAGGAUGAUGGCAUCUAUUGUCAUUGGUCUAGAUGAUGUACGCCUGGCCCUGUCGGUUGUCAACAAGCCAUGCUUCAUUAGGUCUUUAGAUGAUAUGGACCAUAAGUUGUUUCCAUGAAAUCCUUUCUUCUCAGUAGGCUUUUCCAUCGGCCAUGAUUUCAAGCUUGUAAGCCUCAGUAAACUAGGACUGAACUUGAAGUUUUGAAUUUAGCCUUGACCUUCUAGGAUUUUGAUUAUAAGCCAUUUAAAGUUUGUGUUUUCCAUAUAAGAUUCCUAAAGUUGGCUCUCACCAAUUUACUCAGCAUACUAUGAUCUAAUAUUCUAGUAUUCUAGCUUAUAAAAUGACAUUGUUUAUGAGAAAAAGCUACAACCACCCAAAAUGUUUAGAAGAACUAGGCUUUCUUGACCCAUUUGAUUCUUGAAUGAAUCCUAGUGAUGGUUGGUCUUUAAUGAUUUUUUCUUUACACAUCAAAGAACUUUUAUGGGGAUUUUAGUAUUUGAGUCAGAAAUACAAAUAUGCAAUUUCUUAUGUGGGAUUCUUUAGUUUUAAUUUGAAAUUUUUUCUUUGUAUAACCUCUAUACUGUCUUCUCCUUGUCAAACUUAAGAUUAUGUGAUUCGAUUUGCACCUUCAGACUUACUUUGCCUCCUCCUUCACAUCUCAGACUCAUGAAUUUAACAACCUAAUCACCUAGCUGGCAUGAUUCUUGGUGAUUAAGGAUUAAAACAAGACAAAAUAUAUUCUUCAGUCUAGUCAGAUAAUUACAGAAGUUAAGCCUUUCUUUGUUUAGCCAUUAGACAUUAUAUCAGUUGACACAAAAAAGGUGACAAAAUUUGCAUGAACUUGCAUAAUUAGUGCAAUUUGUCAAACCAUACCUAUGAUGCUGUGAUAAGUUAGAGAUAAUUGCUGAUGGAAAAUAAUCAAAGUGAUUGCUUCAUAUCACCAAUGUGCCAACAUCUAUGCUCUAGAAAAAAGUAGCUAGUUAUUACAUGACGACUUCAUUCAUAUAUUUUACCAUCCUUAUGUGACUCUAGACUUUCUGAACAUCAUCAUGUUGUGUUUAUGAUGAUAAUCUGUAUAGCAUAUAUGUCACUCAGUUACUUACAAUUGUUAUCAACAUAGUUUUAACCUUCCGAUAAACUCAUUCAUUAUGCACAUCCUAACACUUGGAAGGAACUGGUGUCAAGCACAAUUACUGAUGAACGUAUAUAUUCUACCAUGCCGUUCAUAUAAAUGAAGUUGGAUCGUAUAUGUGUGCUUAACUUUCAUAUUGUUACACAUACACAUCUGAAUGCAUAAUACCAUUUAGCUAUAUCAAUUUCCUCAAAAAAAAAAAGGCUAUGUAAAAUUUAACCAGCUUUUAGCAGAAUUCAAAUCCAAUGAGAGCAUCAUCGAAACAAAGUACAGGUAGCAACUCUCAUCUAGAUAUUCAUUAAUAACUACCAUGAUAUUCAUUAAUAACUAUCAUGUCAUGAAUUCAAAAUGAUUGCUUAGUGUGGUCUUGAUGCAGGUACGGGAUGAGAAUCCUUUCCACAUGGCUCAGAGUAUAUGCAACAAAUAUAGGGAAGUUGUGAAAGCUAACCAAAUAAAAAAAUGGAGAAGUAAUUAAGCAUAGAAGGAGUAAGCAAGAACGAUACUUAGAAGGCCUCACACUAUCGCAUGCUUCUCAAUCUUGUACCUUUUCACCUUCGAUUUUCACACGAGGCCUCAGUAAGAGUCCUAGCCUCCUAUCCGUAUCUUCUCCCAAACCCCAGCUUUAUACCACGAGUUAAACCAGAAUGUC
Molecule: long non-coding RNA, 2879 nt
Filed under: Elaeis guineensis (African oil palm)
Lineage: Eukaryota; Viridiplantae; Streptophyta; Magnoliopsida; Arecales; Arecaceae
Description: long non-coding RNA (EGUI_LNC011363)
Source: RNAcentral